This 468-nucleotide ribosomal RNA is filed under the name uncultured bacterium. RNAcentral's name for it is "partial 16S ribosomal RNA". It matches the Rfam family "Bacterial small subunit ribosomal RNA", at positions 28 to 507 of the family's 1533-position model. The record is from RNAcentral.
GACGAACGCUGGCGGCGUGCUUAACACAUGCAAGUCGAACGGAAAGGCCCUGCUUUUGUGGGGUGCUCGAGUGGCGAACGGGUGAGUAACACGUGAGUAACCUGCCCUUGACUUUGGGAUAACUUCAGGAAACUGGGGCUAAUACCGGAUAGGAGCUCCCGCUGCAUGGUGGGGGUUGGAAAGUUUCGGCGGUUGGGGAUGGACUCGCGGCUUAUCAGCUUGUUGGUGGGGUAGUGGCUUACCAAGGCUUUGACGGGUGGCCGGCCUGAGAGGGUGACCGGCCACAUUGGGACUGAGAUACGGCCCAGACUCCUACGGGAGGCAGCAGUGGGGAAUAUUGCACAAUGGGCGGAAGCCUGAUGCAGCAACGCCGCGUGCGGGAUGACGGCCUUCGGGUUGUAAACCGCUUUCGCCUGUGACGAAGCGUGAGUGACGGUAAUGGGUAAAGAAGCACCGGCUAACUACGUG